GAAGAGAGGAGCUUGCUCUUCUUGGAUGAGUUGCGAACGGGUGAGUAACGCGUAGGUAACCUGCCUUGUAGCGGGGGAUAACUAUUGGAAACGAUAGCUAAUACCGCAUAACAAUGGAUGACCCAUGUCAUUUAUUUGAAAGGGGCAAAUGCUCCACUACAAGAUGGACCUGCGUUGUAUUAGCUAGUAGGUGAGGUAACGGCUCACCUAGGCGACGAUACAUAGCCGACCUGAGAGGGUGAUCGGCCACACUGGGACUGAGACACGGCCCAGACUCCUACGGGAGGCGGCAGUAGGGAAUCUUCGGCAAUGGGGGCAACCCUGACCGAGCAACGCCGCGUGAGUGAAGAAGGUUUUCGGAUCGUAAAGCUCUGUUGUAAGUCAAGAACGAGUGUGAGAGUGGAAAGUUCACACUGUGACGGUAGCUUACCAGAAAGGGACGGCUAACUACGUGCCAGCAGCCGCGGUAAUACGUAGGUCCCGAGCGUUGUCCGGAUUUAUUGGGCGUAAAGCGAGCGCAGGCGGUUUGAUAAGUCUGGAGUUAAAGGCUGUGGCUCAACCAUAGUUCGCUUUGGAAACUGUCAUACUUGAGUGCAGAAGGGGAGAGUGGAAUUCCAUGUGUAGCGGUGA
This 630-nucleotide ribosomal RNA is filed under the name uncultured Bacilli bacterium. Its description in RNAcentral is "bacterial SSU rRNA". It matches the Rfam family "Bacterial small subunit ribosomal RNA", at positions 68 to 684 of the family's 1533-position model. Lineage: Bacteria; Bacillati; Bacillota; Bacilli. The record is from RNAcentral.